AUUGAACGCUGGCGGCAUGCCUUACACAUGCCAGUCGAACGUCAGCGGUGGUCGUUUCACCUGGUGGCGAGUGGCGUAUGGGGUAUUAAUACAUCUGAACAUCUCCUCUUGUGGGCGAUAGCUCUGCCAAAGCCGGCUUCAUACCGCACACGAUUCACGGACGAAAGCGGGGUCCCUUCGUGCCCCGCGCUAUACGGUUGGCCGAUGGCUGAUUAGCUAGUUGGUGGGGUAAAGGCCUACCAAGGCGACGAUCAGUAUCUGGUCUGAGAGGACGACCAGCCACACUGGGACUGAGACACGGCCCAGACUCCUACGGGAGGCAGCAGUGGGGAAUUUUGGACAAUGGGCGAAAGCCUGAUCCAGCAAUGCCGCGUGUGUGAAGAAGGCCUUCGGGUUGUAAAGCACUUUUGUCCAGAAAGAAAUCCUUGACUCUAAUACAGUCGGGGGAUGACGGUACCGGAAGAAUAAGCACCGGCUAACUACGUG
This 486-nucleotide ribosomal RNA is filed under the name uncultured bacterium. RNAcentral's name for it is "partial 16S ribosomal RNA". It matches the Rfam family "Bacterial small subunit ribosomal RNA", at positions 30 to 507 of the family's 1533-position model. The record is from RNAcentral.